CACGCCGUGGGGGGCUGGGAGCCUCUGACCGGGAACCCCCCCACCCCCCUACCCGGCCACCCUUGUCUACCGGACCUGUUGCCUCGGCGGGCCUGCAGCAUGCUGCCGGGGGAGCUUCUCCUCCCCCGGGCCCGUGUCGCCGGGGACACCGCAAGAACCGUGGUGAACGAUUGGCGUCUGAGCAUGAGAGCGAUAAUAAUCCAGUCAAAACUUUCAACAACGGAUCUCUUGGUUCCGACAUCGAUGAAGAACGCAGCGAAAUGCGAUAAGUAAUGUGAAUUGCAGAAUUCCGUGAAUCAUCGAAUCUUUGAACGCACAUUGCGCCCCCUGGUAUUCCGGGGGGCAUGCCUGUCCGAGCGUCAUUGCAACCCUCAAGCGCGGCUUGUGUGUUGGGCCGUCGUCCCCCCUCGACCGGCGGGACGUGCCCGAAAUGCAGUGGCGGUGUCGAGUUCCGGUGCCCGAGCGUAUGGGGCUUUGCCACCCGCUCUGGAGGCCCGGCCGGCUCCCGCCCACCAU
RNAcentral lists this unclassified non-coding RNA (516 nucleotides) under Histoplasma capsulatum. RNAcentral's name for it is "partial contains ITS1, 5.8S rRNA, ITS2". The stretch from base 209 to 362 matches the Rfam family "5.8S ribosomal RNA". The record is from RNAcentral. Lineage: Eukaryota; Fungi; Ascomycota; Eurotiomycetes; Onygenales; Ajellomycetaceae.